AUUGAACGCUGGCGGCAUGCCUUACACAUGCAAGUCGAACGGUAACAGGUUAAGCUGACGAGUGGCGAACGGGUGAGUAAUGUAUCGGAACGUGCCCAGUCGUGGGGGAUAACUGCUCGAAAGAGCAGCUAAUACCGCAUACGACCUGAGGGUGAAAGCGGGGGAUCGCAAGACCUCGCGCGAUUGGAGCGGCCGAUAUCAGAUUAGGUAGUUGGUGGGGUAAAGGCCUACCAAGCCUACGAUCUGUAGCUGGUCUGAGAGGACGACCAGCCACACUGGGACUGAGACACGGCCCAGACUCCUACGGGAGGCAGCAGUGGGGGAAUUUUGGACAAUGGACGCAAGUCUGAUCCAGCCAUGCCGCGUGCGGGAAGAAGGCC
Molecule: ribosomal RNA, 380 nt
Filed under: uncultured bacterium
Lineage: Bacteria
Description: bacterial SSU rRNA
Rfam family: Bacterial small subunit ribosomal RNA
Source: RNAcentral